AGUAACACGUGGGAAUCUGCCCAUCAGUGGGGAAUAACUUAUCGAAAGAUAAGCUAAUACCGCAUAUGCUAUAAAUAGUAAAGCCCUUCGGGGUGCUGAUGGAGGAGCCUGCGGCUGAUUAGCUAGUUGGUGGGUAAAGCCUACCAAGGCUGUGAUCAGUAGCUGGUCUGAGAGGAUGGACAGCCACACUGGGACUGCGACACGGCCCAG
RNAcentral lists this ribosomal RNA (210 nucleotides) under uncultured bacterium. RNAcentral describes it as "partial 16S ribosomal RNA". It matches the Rfam family "Bacterial small subunit ribosomal RNA", at positions 109 to 334 of the family's 1533-position model. The record is from RNAcentral.